RNAcentral lists this long non-coding RNA (247 nucleotides) under Phaseolus vulgaris (common bean). Its description in RNAcentral is "long non-coding RNA (PVUL_LNC002202)". The record is from RNAcentral. Lineage: Eukaryota; Viridiplantae; Streptophyta; Magnoliopsida; Fabales; Fabaceae.
CGAAUCCAGCGGCGAGAAUCUGGGCGGAGCUCAGCUCAAGUUCUUCAAUUUGUUUCUUAAGCCCCUCGUUCUGCUGCUUCAGCUCUUCAGCUUGUUUCUUGAGUUCUUCAAUUGUUUCCCGAGCUUGAAGAAGGUCUUCAGUAACCUUCUUGGAUUCCGCCUGCGCCUGGGCCAGCUGUGUGGUGAUCUUCCCAUUUUCCUCUUUGGCCUCGGCGAGUUUGGCCAUGGUGUCGUCUCUCUCCUUUUC